GUAAUAAUCCACAAGUUUUUGCUAUUUGCUGAGGGAGAUGUGUAUAAUUAAAUAACCAUUUUCUUCUGUGUACGCAGAUACUAUACAAUGGGAAAAUACUAAUAAAAACAUGACUUUGCUUUAUCCAAGUAAUAGUAGUAGUAGUAGUGGUAUAACAAUUAUUAGCAGUAGUAGCAGUAGCGUCAUUAUUAUUAGUAUUAGUAUAGUUAGUAGUAGUAGUAGUAGUAGUAGUAGUAGUAGUAGUAUUAGUAGUAGUAGUAGUAGUAGUAUUAGUAGUGGUAUUAAUGGUGGUGGUAUAAUUAUUAUUAUUAUUAU
Long non-coding RNA from Ictalurus punctatus (channel catfish), 315 nucleotides. NCBI's taxonomy places the organism in Eukaryota, Metazoa, Chordata, Actinopteri, Siluriformes, Ictaluridae. The record is from Ensembl.